AAGGGCGAGUGGAGAUGCCUAGUAGUUCUCGCAGUCUCGUUGAUCCAGCUUCGGGUAGUGUGUACCGUGACGUGACAAUGGCGGUAGUCGUAAUUGCGGAACGGUGCGUUAUUGUGAUCAGCUGAUCAGCCGAGCUUGACAGAAAGGGCGAAACCCGGGUACGAGCACGCGAUAAAUGACAAAGGGAGGACUUGCGAGGCGAACGACGCAGCGCACGGCUCGAUAGAAAUCGAAGUUGAGAGGACGGUAGGCGAGUUACAAUUUUCGGGUGGCUAUGUCAUUGCGUUCGUGAUUCGUUCCGCCUACGGGGCACCGGUGCUCUUUUCCUCGUUUUGCGGGAAUAGCGGUUUGCAUAUUCCCCGAGCGUGUUUCUUUUUUUUACGUAUGCGUGGAAUUCGCGAAAGCGGUAGAUAAAUGUGUGUUAACCAUGCCUGCUGUGCGGAAGUACAGAAGGGAUACCAGUGAAGUGAGCUGCUGUCUCAAGUAUGUGAUCUUUGGAUUUAACGUUAUGUUUUGGUGGCUGGGUUUGGGUAUAAUGGCAGUGGGCGUUUGGGCAUGGACCGAAAAGGACACGUUCAACAAUCUGUCCAGGCUCACGAACGUCGCGCUGGACCCAGCGUUUAUCCUCAUUCUAGUCGGUACAGUGACAUUCAUUAUUGGAUUUACUGGAUGUGUCGGUGCACUCAGGGAAAAUACGUGCCUCCUAGCUGCGUAUGCGAUAUUCCUGGCGUUGUUAUUGUUAAUGGAGAUGGCAGCCGGUGUUUUAGGGUUUGUCUUUAAAGACUGGAUAAAAUCACAAGCCACUGGCGGCUUCCAAGCGUUCAUCAUUCACUAUAGGGAAGAUCCUGAUCAGCAGAAUCUCAUUGAUUGGAUUCAAGAAGAUUGGUUACAGUGUUGCGGCAUCGAGGGUCCUAAAGACUGGGAUCGCAACAAUUAUUUCAAUUGUUCGUCGAGCGACAUUGGCUCGAGGGAAGCAUGCGGCGUGCCUUUUAGCUGUUGUAAACGAAAGCCAAAUGAGAUUAUUAAAAACAAGCAGUGCGGCUAUGACGUUAGAAAACCUAGUUAUACUGGGGAAAGGAGUAUAUACGAGAGGGGCUGUCUGAGAGCGGGCGAGGAAUGGCUAGAAUUGAAUCUCGUACCUGUCGCUGGCACCGUUGUCAGCACUAUGGUUUUACAGAACUUUGAAGUUGCCAAAGUGAUUUACGAGAAAGGUUGUGUUCAAGCCGGGGAGGAGUGGGUGGAACGGAAUCUUCUUGCGAUCGUCACCGGGGCGGUUGGUACGGCAUUUGCGCAGGUAUAUUCAUCGUUCUCAACGUAUACACAACUCCACGUUUCGAGCGUUCACGUGUAGAGAGAAAGAUCGUUUCGCAUAAAGAUCCACAGUUUGUUCACAAGGAAAUGGGUCGAUUCUGGGUAUCUGUUUCGCCCAAAACCUUCGCGCGGACAUAUUCGCGCAGAAGGCGAAGUGGCAUUGACAGUUCAGGGCCCCCACGGCGGUCUAGCAUCUCAUCCUCAUAGAUGCUGAUCUAUUGCGUUGAUCGAGCUGGACAAGAGACACGAUUCCGCGUGACGGGCACGGGAUCCAUCGAGGCGUCCGAACUGAGUCGAGCUUUUGUUAGAAUCUCACGAUUUUUAAACUUCUGACUUGCGACAUCAAUUCAGGCUUCCCGAGUCUCGUCGAAUAACUUCGAUCGAGAAACAUUGUUCGGUUCUGAUCGAGCCGCGUGAUCCUAUAUUCCUAGACGUCCUCGCAUUGAUUCUAUGAAUUUGAGAAAUCGAUUAUCCUAUUCCCUGCGAAAAAAGGUCGAUGAGUUCGGAUGGCCCUCGGGCAGAGCUACGAAUUCGCGGAGUCUGAAAGAGGGAGAAAGGCAAUGAAGAAAUUGCGUUCUCCGAGCACGGACUGGUUAAUCGGUAGCGACGUUUGAGGGUCAGAGGGCAGGGAGCGUGGUAGAUAGAGGAAAGAACGGAACGGGAGAACACCUGCUCGAUUUACGAGGAACAGCGUGUCGAAGCGUUAAAGUCGAUUGACGCGAUGUCGUGGGGGCGGCGGUGAACGCGACCGAUUUCACCGCACACGAGUAAAACCUCUCUCAGUGGGCACGGUCACGAGAGGCGAAGCGAGCCAUAUGACACGCAAAUACACAAUAACUUUCCGUUGCUCCAAUUGGUCGUUAAAACAGUUGCUCGAGCUACUUUCAGCAUAUAUUGAUCCUACGUUACGCGCCGCGCUGAUACGUUCCCUUCUAUUGACAGGCCGGCUAUCCGUCGCGACGACGCGUUUCGUAUGCGCUAUCGUCACGCAGCUAAAUUACACCCGCAAGAGAGAGUGUACGGUGGCUCGGUCAUUCUGUGAAUUCGAAAAUACUAGCCUCUCUGAUACGACGAUAACGUCACAGGUAACGUCUAUACCCAACUCGUUUCCUUCUUCGUCCUUUCAUCAGCUAAACGAAAUUACGUCCCCGAGGCAAUGGCCAGUGACACGCUACCGCUCGUAAGUAUUUGUCUUGCCAUACCAGCGAGAUCAAUUACUAUGAUUCUGAUUUGUAAUUAGACGGGUUAAGGGGCAGAGACUUACGAGCGGUAGCUCGUAACCGUAUUUAUUCAUCUUUUUAUUCUUUUUCCUUCCAACAUGUUCCUCUCAACGUCUUCGAGAUUCAUACGCAUUCUGGUUUGAAUGAGCUUGACAGACUUUCUUAUCUUGUUUGAUUUAAUUUCUGAUUGUACAAGAAUGUGUUUUCAUCUUAGUUGAACAAUUAAACAGAACAAUUGCCAUGCUUAUAUACACAAUCCGUUUUAAGUAUGACAUAUCCGUCGACGUACCAAACGGAAUUUUCGAAAGAAUUCAGAAGAGACUGAAAUUUUCACUUCCCAGAAAGAGUAAAAUUAUUUUAUCCAACACUCAUGUAUAUAGAUAAGAUCACUUGUUCCGUUCGUUGCAUUAUAUUUUAUUACAUAAAAGACUCUGUUCCUGCCAAAUGAAAUAGAGCACGGAAAGCGAAAAUGACAAUCAUACUUGAGAGAACAGUCUAUAAUUUACAGUACGUUAGGACAUUUCAACUGAUUGCGAUGCUGGCAAAAGGCGUUAAUUGAUAUUACAUUCACCGAAGGAAAUGCACGGAAAUUCUAGUCCGUCCGUUUGGUACAAUUUCGGAUAUCCCACUACUAAUUGUAACAAUAUUGUCGUUAUAAGCCCUUCAUGAAUUCCAGAAAUUGCUAGUUUAUUUGAGAAAAUUGAAUCCAAUUAUCCAAGGAAGUUUAAUUUACGUCUAAUUUAGCAAGAACAAAGAGCCGACAAUUGCAUGAAAGUAUCGAGUUCAAACUAGUGAUAGCAUUUAAUAAAUGUAACAGAGAGCGGCUGGACCGCUGGAACGUUUUCAGUUUCGAUGAGAACACUGUUUUCUAAUGACGGAAUACCAAGAGAUUAGUCCUGAUUUUCUCGAUGUUCUCCCAAAUCAUUUUUAUACUGUGUAUAUAUAUACAUAAAGUUCAGGGUGGCUCUCGGUUGCACGUACAUACAAACAUUUUCUCUGCGGAUCCCUUUUCUCGAAGCCCUCGGAAUUGUUCCAAUUCGUGAGACUAUCGUCAUCUACUGACGCAGGAACAAUUCAGAGCGAGCGAACAAUUUCCAUAUGUAAAAAGACGAGAACCACCCUAAUGAUUAACAAACGUGUAUCGUGUCAACGCCGAAUUAUGAUAAAGAACGUCGUUCGUCUACUUGUUGAUUGUGUUUCAAUUAAUAUAAAAUUCAUAAUUCAUAUCCUGUGUUCAGACAUACAGGAAAUACUGCAUUACCAAUAACUGACGAAUCAUUAAUCAAUUAAAUGCGUUGCACACAUUUAUUCCUAUAAUGAUACGAUGGUAAUACAUGGCGAUGAAUUAGUUAUAAAUCUUCUCAGCGAAUUAAGUUAAUUAGCGAUCGCGGAAGCAGUGAAUCAGAACAGAUUUUCGUAUCGUUCCGUAACUUAAUUUGCCAGCCUGAUCCGAUAUUCUUAUUGGGAACUAUGAUAUUUCUUAAACCCAGGCGGAAUAUGCGGAUCACGUAAUGAAUGCAUGUGCGUAUCGAGUCAACGAGUUGUCGUACCGUACAAUAUCAAAGAUUACAUUUAACGACUAAUCUUCGUUCGGUAAGCAUUUGUCAAAGAGUUUCUUUUACUUUUAUUCGUGAUGGUCUAGCAUGGCAGCGAGACCAUCGUGCUUUUGUACACUUGUUUAAAAAAUGGCCGCUUCGAUUGAAUUUUUAUUAUCUAAUAAAGAUAUUGUUUAUACACUUU
Molecule: RNA transcript, 4271 nt
Organism: Ceratina calcarata
Lineage: Eukaryota; Metazoa; Arthropoda; Insecta; Hymenoptera; Apidae
Gene: Tsp26A
Gene name: Tetraspanin 26A
Exons: 10
Source: RefSeq, a predicted model, not a curated record